Molecule: non-coding RNA, 719 nt
Organism: Suricata suricatta (meerkat)
Lineage: Eukaryota; Metazoa; Chordata; Mammalia; Carnivora; Herpestidae
Source: the annotation of a RefSeq genome assembly
AUGGCACCAGGUCAGUCAAAGUCCUCACCAUCAAUAACCCUCUUCCUACUCUCCCCUGACAAACUCAGCGCCAACAAGGCCACCCUGGGGUGCCUCAUCAAUGACUUCUACCUCAGCGGCUUGAUGGUGGCCUGGAAAACAGACAAUACCACUGUCACCCAGGGUGUGGAGACCACCAAGCCCUCCAAACAGAGCAACAAAAAGUAUGCAGCCAGCAGCUACUUGAGCCUGUCGCCUGACCAGUGGAAAUCCCACAGCAAAUUCACCUGCCAGUGGCAUUGCUUUGGCGGAGGGACCCGUGUGACCAUCGUUGGCCAGCCCAAGUCAGCACCAUCCGUCAUGCUGUUCCCACCCUCCCCUGAGGACCUCAGUGCCAACAAGGCCACCCUGGGGUGCCUCAUCAGUGACUUCUACCCCAGCGGCUUCACGGUGGCCUGGAAGGCAGGCAGCACCACUGUCACCCAAGGCGUGGAGACCACCAAGCCCUCCAAACAGAGCAACAAGUACGCAGCCAGCAGCUACCUGAGCCUGUCGCCUGACCAGUGGAAAUCUCGCAGGAGAUUCACCUGCCAGGUCACACAUGAGGGGAGCACCGUGGAGAAGAAUGUGGUCCCCGCAGAGUGCUCUUAGGUGCCUGAGACACCUUGCCUCCCACGUGGAUGUGCAGCCAUUAAACCUCCAGGAAGGAUUCCCCACACACCAAGAUCGUCCUAGGCCUU